CAAGUCUGUUGGAAUACAGCGGCAUAGUGGUGAGACCCCCGUAUAUGGUGCGGACGCCCAGCGCUUUGUGAUACAUUUUCGAAGAGUCGAGUUGUUUGGGAAUGCAGCUCAAAUUGGGUGGUAAAUUCCAUCUAAAGCUAAAUAUUGGCGAGAGACCGAUAGCGAACAAGUACCGUGAGGGAAAGAUGAAAAGCACUUUGGAAAGAGAGUUAACAGUACGUGAAAUUGUUGGAAGGGAAACGCUUGAAGUCAGACUUGCUUGCCGAGCAAUCGGUUUGCAGGCCAGCAUCAGUUUUCCGGGAUGGAUAAUGGUAGAGAGAAGGUAGCAGUUUCGGCUGUGUUAUAGCUCUCUGCUGGAUACAUCUUGGGGGACUGAGGAACGCAGUGUGCCUUUUGGCGGGGGUUUCGACCUCUUCACACUUAGGAUGCUGGUGGAAUGGCUUUAAACGACCCGUCUUGAAACACGGA
RNAcentral lists this ribosomal RNA (468 nucleotides) under Rhodotorula mucilaginosa. RNAcentral describes it as "partial large subunit ribosomal RNA". It matches the Rfam family "Eukaryotic large subunit ribosomal RNA", at positions 182 to 665 of the family's 3401-position model. Lineage: Eukaryota; Fungi; Basidiomycota; Microbotryomycetes; Sporidiobolales; Sporidiobolaceae. The record is from RNAcentral.